CUGGUAUUAUUGUGAAAAUAGUUUUGACUUGCAGACGCCCACUGGAUGGUUUUUUGAGGAGCCCCAGGGGACCCUGGAACACACUCUGAGAACUUCUGGCUUACAGAUUAGCUCAAAAGUAACUGUAUUCUGUAGAAAACAGAGUUUGAACAUAUUGAAGCUUAUCAAUAAAUAUGGGAUUAGCAAUAAAGAGUGGCUGAGACGUUGGUUCUGCGGGCCAAGUGCAGACGAGUUGGUGCAGCAUUGAGCGUGACAAUUGCCCAGGGGGCAGAUGACAUUAGAAACAAGACUUUCUACAAGAAGCGGAGCUCCUUUUUCAAAAGAGUCUAACAUGAAGCUCUGAUAUAUAAAGUAUGGAACAGUCUGGCUGAAGUAAGGAAGGGGUCUGUGUGGCCUGGCUUCCUUCUUCCUCCUCCUGUCUCAACAUAAGCAUGGCCUCUGGACCCUGGACAUCCAGAAAAAGCAGGCAGAAAACCACUGAUCUAACUGCAAACAAUCGGCAGAGCCGGAAAAGGUAACUGAAGAUGAAAGUUAAAGCAAAUUGCCCAACAUCUCCCACUGGGUCAAAAAGAGGCCCUGAACUGAGAUUGAAGCCCAGUCCGCCUGACUGCAGAGCCCAGCUGCACCCCAAACUCCGUCCGAAUGCUGGAAUUACCCCCCCGCCUUCACCAGGGCCACCUGCCUGCAGACACUGCCUGCAAACUGCUCAAAAGAUGCCCAGGAGAAGAGAGAGGAGCAAAAGACGUCCCUAAUUUCCAUACCCGGCAAUCCGCUAUACAAACUCUCUAGUAACUCUUAAAUGCUAUUGGAAGCAAUUAAAUAAAAAUCCUGGGAUAAUGACUUGUUUUUAACAUUAGAGCCUAAA
This 865-nucleotide long non-coding RNA is filed under the name Equus caballus (horse). RNAcentral's name for it is "lncRNA (ENSECAG00000053098.1)". The record is from RNAcentral. Lineage: Eukaryota; Metazoa; Chordata; Mammalia; Perissodactyla; Equidae.